GAUGAACGCUGGCGGCGUGCUUAACACAUGCAAGUCGAACGGAAAGGCCCUGCUUUUGUGGGGUGCUUGAGUGGCGCACGGGUGAGUAACACGUGAGUAUCCUCCCCUUGACUUUGGGAUAACUUCAGGAAACUGGGGCUAAUACCGGAUAGGAGCUCCUGCUGCAUGGUGGGGGUUGGAAAGUUUCGGCGGUUGGGGAUGGACUCGCGGCUUAUCUGCUUGUUGGUGUGGUAGUGGCUUACCAAGGCUUUGACGGGUAGCCGGCCUGAGAGGGUGACCGGGAACAGUGGGACUGAGAUACGGCACAGACUCGUAAGGGAGGCAGGAGUGGGGAGUAUUGCACAAUGGGGGGAAGCCGGAUGCAGCAACGCUGCGUGCGGGAUGACGGCCUUCGGGUUGAAAACAGUUUUCGCAGGUGACGAAGCGUGAGUGACGGUAAUGGAUAAAGAAGCACCGGCUAACUACGUG
This 468-nucleotide ribosomal RNA is filed under the name uncultured bacterium. Its description in RNAcentral is "partial 16S ribosomal RNA". It matches the Rfam family "Bacterial small subunit ribosomal RNA", at positions 28 to 507 of the family's 1533-position model. The record is from RNAcentral.